Molecule: long non-coding RNA, 471 nt
Organism: Melanotaenia boesemani (Boeseman's rainbowfish)
Lineage: Eukaryota; Metazoa; Chordata; Actinopteri; Atheriniformes; Melanotaeniidae
Exons: 3
Source: RefSeq, a predicted model, not a curated record
GUUACGUGGAGCGAUUAUACAGGCCUGCUCUGGCAUCUUCCCAUCAGAUGCAUGGGGAAAAGCCAGGUGACAGAGCUGUUGCAGAGACCAGCUGUCGGUGAAGCCCGGAGCUGUGCUGUGCCAUGAUAGGAAUUGGCCAGGUGGUUUGGAUUCCAUUUGGGAUCAGAAAGAUGGCGAGCUAUUGAAUGAACAGCCGAGGAGUGACGACACCGAACCUACCUACUGGUCUGGUAGGAGGCUGGCCAAGCCUGCACUCUGCUCCCCACCAUUUCACUCUCAGAUUCACACAACCGUCAAACAUUCUUUCUCCUGUUGUGGACACUCGCAUUUAGACAUCUACUCUGGACAAUGGCAAUAACCAAGACACGGAUUCUACCCGUGCUGUGUGAUUGGGGUUGUGAAUUGUACUGACCAGUGCCUGUAGUGGUGAAGACUUUGUAAAUGUUUGAUAUUGUACAGCCAGUUUAUUAU